GCCUUAUCAAGAGUGGUUGAGGGACGGGCCCUGUGAAACCCGGCAACCUGCGUGCGCGCAAGGUGCCAAUUCCCGCGGCAUUAGCCGAAAGAUGAGCG
Clostridium sp. CAG:226 is the source of this 98-nucleotide regulatory RNA element. It matches the Rfam family "SAM riboswitch aptamer (S box leader)". Rfam says of the family: The SAM riboswitch is found upstream of a number of genes which code for proteins involved in methionine or cysteine biosynthesis in Gram-positive bacteria. The record is from Rfam. NCBI's taxonomy places the organism in Bacteria, Bacillati, Bacillota, Clostridia, Eubacteriales, Clostridiaceae.